GUCGUGCCCGGCCCCCGCCCCGGCCCCGCCACCGCCCCGGCGCUGCCCCGCGGGUGACUGACCGUUGUUGCGGCGCGGGUUCGGCUGCUUCCUGCGCUUACACCUGGGGCCAUCCGCCAUGAUCCGCUCGCUGGUGUCUAAAUGCUCCAGUCACCUCCUCCCCCGCCCGCCCCCCUCCCUCCCUCCCUCCCCUCCCCCCCGGACCUGGUUUACGACACUGGGUGGUUUUACUUUUACAUCACCUUCCUACACCUAGUGCUCGCCCGGAACCUUGUUGCCAGGGGUGACCGGGCGCUUUACGGCAGCGCGUUUGAACGGCGGCGGGGGAAAAAGUUGCGCCCGCAGCUCCAAUGGAGAGACAAACAGCUGGACGAGAGUGACGCUGUUCUUGCUGAACCUGCCGUUCUUGCGCUUUCCUGAGUCAUACUUCCCGCUUUCGCGAAGAGGAGAAGAGGUAUAAAAUUCUAUGCCCCUGAAAAAAAAAACAAAGGGAAAGGAGCAAAUUUUCACGAAUAAUUAAUAGAAGACCUCCUUUAGGCUUAAUAAACUUAUUAAAUGUAUUAAAAAUUAAA
Molecule: long non-coding RNA, 572 nt
Organism: Chiroxiphia lanceolata (lance-tailed manakin)
Lineage: Eukaryota; Metazoa; Chordata; Aves; Passeriformes; Pipridae
Exons: 2
Source: RefSeq, a predicted model, not a curated record